This 372-nucleotide ribosomal RNA is filed under the name uncultured bacterium. Its description in RNAcentral is "bacterial SSU rRNA". It matches the Rfam family "Bacterial small subunit ribosomal RNA", at positions 523 to 898 of the family's 1533-position model. The record is from RNAcentral.
AUACGUAGGGGGCAAGCGUUAUCCGGAAUCACUGGGCGUAAAGGGUGCGUAGGCGGCCAAUAAAGUCAGAGGUGAAAUCCCAGGGCUCAACCCUGGUCAGCCUUUGAAACUUAAUGGCUUGAGUGCAGGAGAGGAGAGUGGAAUUCCUAGUGUAGCGGUGAAAUGCGUAGAUAUUAGGAGGAACACCAGUGGCGAAGGCGACUCUCUGGACUGUAACUGACGCUGAGGCACGAAAGUGUGGGUAGCAAACAGGAUUAGAUACCCUGGUAGUCCACACCGUAAACGAUGAGUGCUAGGUGUUGGGGGUCAAACCUCAGUGCCGCAGUUAACGCAUUAAGCACUCCGCCUGGGGAGUACGUUCGCAAGAAUGAA